Molecule: ribosomal RNA, 492 nt
Filed under: uncultured bacterium
Lineage: Bacteria
Description: partial 16S ribosomal RNA
Rfam family: Bacterial small subunit ribosomal RNA
Source: RNAcentral
AGUGAACGCUGGCGGUAGGCCUAACACAUGCAAGUCGAACGGCAGCACAGUAAGAGCUUGCUCUUACGGGUGGCGAGUGGCGGACGGGUGAGGAAUACAUCGGAAUCUACUUUUUCGUGGGGGAUAACGUAGGGAAACUUACGCUAAUACCGCAUACGACCUACGGGUGAAAGCAGGGGAUCUUCGGACCUUGCGCGAUUGAAUGAGCCGAUGUCGGAUUAGCUAGUUGGCGGGUUAAAGGCCCACCAAGGCGACGAUCCGUAGCUGGUAUGAGAGGAUGAUCAGCCACACUGGAACUGAGACACGGUCCAGACUCCUACGGGAGGCAGCAGUGGGGAAUAUUGGACAAUGGGCGCAAGCCUGAUCCAGCCAUACCGCGUGGGUGAAGAAGGCCUUCGGGUUGUAAAGCCCUUUUGUUGGGAAAGAAAAGCAGCAGGUUAAUACCCCGCUGUUCUGACGGUACCCAAAGAAUAAGCACCGGCUAACUUCGUG